GGACAGGAGGGUAAUUGUUCACCCGAAUGGUUGACCAGCUUGACUUGACGCAUCCGACUGGUUCAGUGGAUGUCCCCUUCCUCAGUCAUCACUCUCUGUGCAACCCUCCUGAACUGUGCACUUGGGAGGAUGGGCUCCCCCCCAAAGAUAAAGGAGAUGGAGGAGGACCAUUUCUGAGUCAAAGGCACAUGAGUAGCCAUGUUUCCUUGCUGUUGAUAGGACGCCAAAGGAGCUUUCAAGGUCCCUUUGUCGGAGCAUGUAAGUAGGGCUUCUCAGACUCCAGAUGCAUUUAAAUGAGGUGCUGCAUGUGGCAAGCUGCCUUCCCUG
Molecule: non-coding RNA, 327 nt
Organism: Cricetulus griseus (Chinese hamster)
Lineage: Eukaryota; Metazoa; Chordata; Mammalia; Rodentia; Cricetidae
Source: Rfam